GGGUGCAGCAGGCGCGAAAACUUUAAAGGAAGGGAAACGGUGAUAAGGGAACUCCGAGUGUCCGCCAAUGAAAAACUGUCCGUAUGUUUAAAAAGCAUGCGAAGAAAGGGCCGGGCAAGACCGGUGCCAGCCGCCGCGUUUCCACCGGCGGCUCGAGUGGUAACCGUUAUUAUUGGGUCUAAAGGGUCUGUAGCCGGCCGGACAAGUCUCUUGAGAAAUCCAGCAGCUCAACUGUUGGGCUUUCAGGAGAUACUGUUCGGCUCGAGGCCGGGAGAGGUGAGAGGUACUUCAGGGGUAGGGGUGAAAUCUUGUAAUCCUUGAAGGACCACCAGUGGCGAAGGCGUCUCACCAGAACGGACCUGACGGCAAGGGACGAAAUUUUGGGGUUUUUAACCGGGUUAGAUACCCGGGUAGUCCUAGCCGUAAACUAUGCGGACUUGGUGUGAGGGUGGCUUUGAGCCGUCCUGGUGCCCAAGGGAAGCUGUUAAGUCCGCCGCCUGGGAAGUACGGUCGCAAGACUGAAACUUAAAGGAAUUUGGCGGGGGGAAAGGGCGAAUUC
Molecule: ribosomal RNA, 559 nt
Filed under: uncultured euryarchaeote
Lineage: Archaea; Methanobacteriati; Methanobacteriota
Description: bacterial SSU rRNA
Rfam family: Archaeal small subunit ribosomal RNA
Source: RNAcentral